This 216-nucleotide ribosomal RNA is filed under the name Glomeromycotina sp. Its description in RNAcentral is "partial small subunit ribosomal RNA". The stretch from base 40 to 216 matches the Rfam family "Eukaryotic small subunit ribosomal RNA", at positions 686 to 864 of the family's 1831-position model. Lineage: Eukaryota; Fungi; Glomeromycota. The record is from RNAcentral.
GGGUCAGUAGGUUGGUCGUGCCACCGGUACGUACUGGUCUCACUGAUUCCUCCUUCCUGAAGAACCGUAAUGCCAUUAAUUUGGUGUUGCGGGGAAACAGGACUGUUACUUUGAAAAAAUUAGAGUGUUUAAUGCAAGCUAACGCUUGAAUACAUUAGCAUGGAAUAACGAAAUAGGACGAUCGAUCCUAUUUUGUUGGUUUCUAGGAUUGACGUA